Molecule: ribosomal RNA, 253 nt
Filed under: uncultured bacterium
Lineage: Bacteria
Description: partial 16S ribosomal RNA
Rfam family: Bacterial small subunit ribosomal RNA
Source: RNAcentral
UACAGAGGUCUCAAGCGUUGUUCGGAUUCAUUGGGCGUAAAGGGUGCGUAGGCGGCUUUGCAAGUCGGGUGUGAAAUCCCCAGGCUUAACCUGGGAACUGCAUUCGAGACUGCAUUGCUAGAGUAUGGGAGAGGGAAGUGGAAUUUCAGGUGUAGCGGUGAAAUGCGUAGAUAUCUGAAGGAACAUCAGUGGCGAAAGCGACUUCCUGGACCAAUACUGACGCUCAUGUGCGAAAGCGUGGGGAGCAAACAGG